This 701-nucleotide long non-coding RNA is filed under the name Homo sapiens (human). RNAcentral's name for it is "HSALNT0326381". Lineage: Eukaryota; Metazoa; Chordata; Mammalia; Primates; Hominidae. The record is from RNAcentral.
CCAGCUUUCUUCCCGCCAGGCCCCCUCCACCCGAUCGCCGCGCGCUCUCCGAACCAAAAGGCGACCUCACGAAAUGCCCCUUUGAGCUCAAAGGCUAGUUACCCCCAGGGGCCCUUCCACUCUCGGGGACAGGCGAAACCUCUUUGUCUCUGCCUCGGCCUGCGGCCCCCAGCCCAGCCUCCGCGCUUUCCCUCCGCCAGUCCUUGUCAAUCAAACCUGGUGCCAAACGCGGCAGCUGAAGUUUUCAGGGACACAUUUGCUUCUCCCCUUGAAGAACCAGUUACAAAGCGUGAUGUCCUCUCUGGGGUCCCAUCAGAACAAAGAAACAGGCUGUACAAGAAGCAUGAUGCCAGCAUCUGCUUCUGGUGACAACCUCAAGAAGUUUACAAUUGGCCGCGUGCGGUGGCUCAUGCCUGUAAUGCCAGCACUUCGGGAGGCGGAGACAGAUGGAUCAUUUGAGGUCAGGAGUUCGAGACCAGGCUGGCCAACAUGGUGAAACCCCAUCUCUACUAAAAAUACAAAAAUUAGCUGGGCAUGGUGGCAUGUGUCUGGAAUCCCUGCUACUCAGGAGGCUGAGGCAAGAGGAUCACUUGGAACUUGGGAGGCAGAGGUUGCUGUGAGCUGAGAUCACACCACUGUACUCCAGCCUGGGCAACAGAGUGAUACUCUAUCUCAAAAAAAAAAGAAAGAAAGAAAGAAAA